CCUACGGGCGGCAGCAGUGAGGAAUAUUGGUCAAUGGACGAGAGUCUGAACCAGCCAAGUAGCGUGAAGGAUGACUGCCCUAUGGGUUGUAAACUUCUUUUAUAUGGGAAUAAAACGUUCCACGUGUGGGAUUUUGUAUGUACCAUAUGAAUAAGGAUCGGCUAACUCCGUGCCAGCAGCCGCGUUAAUACGGAGGAUCCGAGCGUUAUCCGGAUUUAUUGGGUUUAAAGGGAGCGUAGGUGGAUUGUUAAGUCAGUUGUGAAAGUUUGCGGCUCAACCGUAAAAUUGCAGUUGAAACUGGCAGUCUUGAGUACAGUAGAGGUGGGCGGAAUUCGUGGUGUAGCGGUGAAAUGCUUAGAUAUCACGAAGAACUCCGAUUGCGAAGGCAGUUCACUGGACUGCAACUGACACUGAGGCUCGAAAGUGUGGGUAUCAAACAGGAUUAGAUACCCUGGUAGUC
RNAcentral lists this ribosomal RNA (460 nucleotides) under uncultured bacterium. RNAcentral's name for it is "partial 16S ribosomal RNA". It matches the Rfam family "Bacterial small subunit ribosomal RNA", at positions 338 to 795 of the family's 1533-position model. The record is from RNAcentral.